ACAACAAAUACAAAAACAGCU
RNAcentral lists this unclassified non-coding RNA (21 nucleotides) under Dictyostelium discoideum. Lineage: Eukaryota; Evosea; Eumycetozoa; Dictyosteliales; Dictyosteliaceae. The record is from RNAcentral.